UGCGGCUGGAACCCCUCCUUUCU
RNAcentral lists this ribosomal RNA (23 nucleotides) under uncultured beta proteobacterium. RNAcentral describes it as "partial 16S ribosomal RNA". Lineage: Bacteria; Pseudomonadati; Pseudomonadota; Betaproteobacteria. The record is from RNAcentral.